Molecule: long non-coding RNA, 1154 nt
Organism: Conger conger (European conger)
Lineage: Eukaryota; Metazoa; Chordata; Actinopteri; Anguilliformes; Congridae
Exons: 4
Source: RefSeq, a predicted model, not a curated record
AUCACAGUCUUCCCGACCAUUGCUGUACAGCUUUUACACUUCGACUUCUUGAAGAGUGUUUCGACAAGAAUAACAUAAACUCCAACCACAACCACAGCUGCCACGAUUAAUGCCAACAUGGUAUCGACUGGGAUAAAUCUAUUCCCAGGUGCAGCAACGUCUCAGUUCGCCUGUGAACAGCGAGAGUAUCUGCACUCCCAAAUUAGGCAACCCCUUUUCUUCCUUCCUUUUGCUCGUUUUACCGGUUUAAGACUUUCGACGCGUCUCUCCUAUGACAGAGGAUACGUCUGCUUGGUGUAGCCUACUUGCUUAACAGGUCCUAAAUCGUUUCUCGGUCCUGCCGUCCUUUGUGGCACAAAUCAGGAUUGACAGACUGGUAAUAGCCCGCGUGAUCCGUGCCGAAGUAUUUUGGUUAUGAAGGCCUACUAUAGGCUACCUAUUGGAAUACACGUAACUUAAGCAGGUCAGCGUCCUGUUUACAUGUCGUCGAAGAGUCUCUUUGGGCAGAACUCCAAGCACUAUAUCUUGUGAUCACCCAGCACUGCUCAUCACCAGGCUAAUACCAUUCCUACGGUGAAGCGUGGUGGUGGCAGCAUCAUGCUAUGGGCGUGCUUCUCAGUGGCAGCUUUCUGGCCACUGCAUCAUCCUUGGCCUUGGGGAGAAGAUCCGCCACGGCAGAGUUGGAGAAGUAACACCCACUCAGCGGCUCAAUGCCCUCCUGGAGGGCACAGUGCAGAGUGGUCUGGGCUCCAGAAUCUGCAUCUACGCAGAACAGCAAGGCUACUGGAAUGAGGAGGAUCUUCCACCAUAUACGAGUGUAACGAGCUAUAUCCGUUCUGACCCCUCCUGUGGAACAGAAAAUCUCUGGAGCUAUUUGCCGUCAGUCUGGUUGUCAGCAAGUGAAAUGCUCAACUGGAAUGAGGUCAGAUGAUUGACUUGACUUAUUCUAAUUUUUGACUCCUUGGUUGGUUUGGCUGUAUCUUUUGGAACAUUGUCCUGCUGUAGGAUGAAGCGUCGUCCAGUCAGUUCUGAUGCAUUUGCUUGGAUGUUUUCUACAGACUUUGGCAGUCAGCAGCAGCGACGUCAUCAAUGAACAUAAGUGAGCCAGUUCCAGUGGCAGCCAUACAUGCCCAAGCAUGUGCAAAAACACCACA